UCACAAUGCUUGACUGAUGGCAAUAAAACUGUAUUUGGGGUUUGAAUGUCAAAACCUGAAUUGUUUGUGUAAAAUGAUGCAUACAGAAAAUCUUUGCUUAUAGCAGUCAAUUUUGACCCCAGCCAAAACCCCAGAGAACAAAGGUAGAUGUGCAUGACGUAUACUGUAUGAUAUGUAUGACGUAUACUGUAACAUGUUUAUUUUGUUAUGUAAUUUUGUUUGAUAUGUAUGACGUAUACUGUAACAUGUUUAUUUUCACUCCUCUUCCCGAUUUCAUUUAUCUAAGGAACAAUAGUGGAGAAAUGAAGAGGUCAGAGGCAGGACCAAAACAUCUCCCAGACUCUUUGGCUUUGUACUGAACAAAGAUGGAACCACUGCCUUCCCUCAAUACCCCCAUCCCUCUCCUUCCUUUCUUGAGGGACUCACAAUAUUUGAUCAACUUUAUGAUCACUUCCUUGGGCAGAUGAAUAGAUGUCAGGGGGAUGUCAACAGUUGUCUUGGAAAUGAUCUAUGAAUUUCCUCGCUGGUUGGUUGCCUUACUGAUCCACUCAACUGAGGGAACUA
Molecule: long non-coding RNA, 564 nt
Filed under: Bos taurus (domestic cattle)
Lineage: Eukaryota; Metazoa; Chordata; Mammalia; Artiodactyla; Bovidae
Description: long non-coding RNA NONBTAT006018
Source: RNAcentral